CCCUUAGAUGUCCGGGGCCGCACGCGCGCUACACUGAAGGAAUCAGCGUGGCUUUCUCCCUGGUCCGAAAGGACCGGGAAACCCGUUGAAUCUCCUUCGUGAUAGGGAUUGGGGCUUGAAAUUGUUCCCCAUGAACGAGGAAUUCCCAGUAAGCGCGAGUCAUAAGCUCGCGUUGAUUACGUCCCUGCCCUUUGUACACACCGCCCGUCGCUACUACCGAUUGAACGGUUUAGUGAGGGCCUCGGAUUGGUCUCGGCCCGCUCUUUACCGGGCGGCGCCGUUGGUCGAGAAGACGCUCGAACUUGAUCGUUUAGAGGAAGUAAAAGUCGUAACA
RNAcentral lists this ribosomal RNA (334 nucleotides) under uncultured eukaryote. RNAcentral's name for it is "partial 18S ribosomal RNA". It matches the Rfam family "Eukaryotic small subunit ribosomal RNA", at positions 1470 to 1796 of the family's 1831-position model. The record is from RNAcentral.